ACCUACGGGACGCAGCAGUGGGGAAUAUUGGGCAAUGGAGGCAACUCUUACCCAGCAAUGCCGCGGGAAUGAAGAAGGUCUUCGGAUUGUAAAGUUCUUUAAUUGGGGACGAAAAAAAUGACGGUACCCAAGGAAUAAGCCCCGGCUAACUACGUGCCAGCAGCCGCGGUAAUACGUAGGGGGCAAGCGUGGUUCGGAAUGACUGGGCGUAAAGGGGGGGUAGGCGGUGGAGCAAGUUAGAAGUGAAAUACCUAGAGAUUAA
This 262-nucleotide ribosomal RNA is filed under the name uncultured bacterium. Its description in RNAcentral is "partial 16S ribosomal RNA". It matches the Rfam family "Bacterial small subunit ribosomal RNA", at positions 337 to 612 of the family's 1533-position model. The record is from RNAcentral.